RNAcentral lists this ribosomal RNA (402 nucleotides) under Annelida sp. MM00194. RNAcentral's name for it is "SSU rRNA". It matches the Rfam family "Eukaryotic small subunit ribosomal RNA", at positions 592 to 998 of the family's 1831-position model. The record is from RNAcentral. RNAcentral also lists the same sequence under 1 other name. Lineage: Eukaryota; Metazoa; Annelida.
CAAUAGCGUAUAUUAAAGUUGUUGCAGUUAAAAAGCUCGUAGUUGGAUCUCGGAUCCCGGCUCGCGGUCCACCUCACGGUGGUUACUGCCCGUCCGGAUCUACCUCCCGGUUUUCCCUUGGUGCUCUUGACUGAGUGUCUCGGGUGGCCGGAACGUUUACUUUGAAAAAAUUAGAGUGUUCAAAGCAGGCGCUUCGCCUGAAUAAUGGUGCAUGGAAUAAUGGAAUAGGACCUCGGUUCUAUUUUGUUGGUUUUCGGAACUUGAGGUAAUGAUUAAGAGGGACAGACGGGGGCAUUCGUAUUACGGUGUUAGAGGUGAAAUUCUUGGAUCGCCGUAAGACGAACUACUGCGAAAGCAUUUGCCAAGAAUGUUUUCAUUAAUCAAGAACGAAAGUCAGAGGUU